GUGUCGGAGCAGAGAACAAUUUGGAGGAGUUGGAGCAGAGAGGAUUGGUGUUGGAGCAGAGAACAGUUUGGAGGUGUCGGAGCAGAGAGGAUUGGUGUCGGAGCAGAGAACAAUUUGGAGCAGUCGGAGCGGAGAGGAUUGGUGUCGGAGCGGAGAACAGUUUGGAGCAGUCGGAGCGGAGAGGAUUGGUGUUGGAGCAGAGAGGAUUGGUGUUGGAGCAGAGAGGAUUGGUGUUGGAGCAGAGAGGAUUGGUGCUGGAGCAGAGAACAGUUUGGAG
Long non-coding RNA from Gopherus flavomarginatus (Mexican gopher tortoise), 277 nucleotides. RefSeq lists it as uncharacterized. The transcript is spliced from 4 exons. NCBI's taxonomy places the organism in Eukaryota, Metazoa, Chordata, Testudines, Testudinidae. The record is from RefSeq and is a predicted model, not a curated record.